Molecule: RNA transcript, 4577 nt
Organism: Mus musculus (house mouse)
Lineage: Eukaryota; Metazoa; Chordata; Mammalia; Rodentia; Muridae
Gene: Rab37
Gene name: RAB37, member RAS oncogene family
Exons: 9
Source: RefSeq, marked validated
CAAGUUGACACAAAACUAGCCAGUACAGCCUGGGUGCUGUGCUGUGAGUGAUCUUUGCACCAUGGUUUGAAAAACCUGAGCGUCAACUUUGUUGCUCCAGCCUCUACCCUAGUCUUCCCUCCACAUCUGGACCCUGCAGUCAGUGGGCUGGGUGCUUCACAGCCCUGGGGUUCUCUUCAGUCCACCUGCAUGUCUGGGAAGAACUCAGAUGUGCCUCUAAACAGGAAGGAGAGAUGCCGGUGUCACUGGCUCUCCCUCUAUCAGGAGUGUGAGUGUCCUCUAGCACAGUAGGGUGAGAGUUUCUGGUUGGAGGGUAAUGUGGUGUGCAUGUGCACUUCGCAUCUGGGGGACAUGAAAGAGGUUGGGUAAUUUAUAGUGUUUUAUAUUUGAGAGUGAUUGGGGCAUCCGUUGAGGAUGUGAGUUAUGGGGUCAAUUUGAGGGCAUGUGGGCAUUGAUGUAUUUUAUGAGCUCGUGGUGGAAUGCAAAUUAUGUCUGUGGUUUCCAUGUGCUGAGAGACAAGCACCUGUCUGGAGUGAAGUGGGGGGCCUGUGUCUGGGAGUCGUGUAAGACAUGGUAUGCUUGUGCUACGACAGGAGAUGAGUGUAAUGAUGUUUCAUGACAUGCAAUCUAGUGUGUGUUUGUGAUAUGAAGCUUGUAUGUUAAGGGAUUGUGUGAGGUGUGCAUGUGAGGCAUGGCUGUGUUACAGUGUCGGUGUCAGAGUGUGUGACUGUGGUAAGACGUGAGAUGUAAGCAGCUAUGGGAGAGACUCAGGUUGUUGGGGCAUGCACACAGUAUCAGCGCAGAGGUCAGAAAGCCUUGGUGGUAUGUUCUAGAUCAUUCCCUCUGUCCUGAAGGCUACAUCUUAUGAUUCCCUGCCCUUGCGUGAGCGUCUCUUCUACACAGCCCCACUCUGAAGGUCCUUAAGGCCCUCGUGCUUCUGUCUGUCUCAGGACUGCCCUUGAACACACCACAGGAUAUUACAGCAUCUCAGGGGACAAAGCAUGGCUCAUCCAUACUUGACUGCCUGCAUGCUGCAGGCCCAGGGAACAUAACCCAGAGUUGCUAACAAGCAUUGCCCAGAAAAAGGACUGAACUCUCCCCGGUUCUCUGUAAGAAUGAUUUUAUCUCUGUCGUCUCUGGAGGUGCCUGGGUUGCUCCAUCCCAAACCCAUUCCUCUAAGGCAAGUGUAAGCAAGUAUAUGUGACCAGUAGCUUAGCUCCAGCUGUAGUGGCAAGCUUAGCUAAACCACUUUGGCUCCCAGACAGUUGCGUGCUUACAAGCAGAGCCUUCUGGAUUCGCGAAAAGAACACACACACACGCACACAUUAGCUUAUUUUUGAUAUGUCUUGACUAGCUCAAAGGCUGGGCAGUUCUGAUCCUCCGCCCAGCUAGCAUACAUUUCCCUCCGGUACUCCUGACUCAACGCCUUCUGAAUCUGGGUUCUCUCUUCGCUGCCCUGUUACCUUCUGGGCCCCUCCCCUAGGGCUGCUUUCCCUUCCCACUUACAUUUUGGACGGUUUCUCCUUCUGCAGCUCUAAAUCUGACCCAUCUCGCUAGAUCAUCUCCAGUUUUCUCCCUGGCUGCCGGCCCUCACAAAUCCCCCAGGUCCCGCCCACCUCAGUUUACCUGCCCAGCCAUUGGCUGUAAAGCAAUCCUUUAAUGCCAAUCAAAUCCAGCUGGGGGCGGAGACAGAAGGUCUGGGACCUCUGCCUUUGGGAGCCGAAUUGAAUUGAGACAGCGUUAGAACCAAUCCCUAACACCAGCUAAGCCCUAACCUCUGAAGCCUUUGCCUCCUCCCAAAAUAAUAAUGGAGCCAACAACACACACCAAAGUCCCAAACCAAGGGGUCAGUAGUAUCCCAGUCGAAUUCUCCCUACCGCUUCCCAGCUUCUCUUAGCUCCGGGCAUCGUCCCUGUUCCUUGGAGUCAUCAAAUAUUCCUGUCUCUACCUCUGGCUUCACGAGGCUGUCUUCUAGCCAUUUGCUUUAAACCUUUCCCCAUCACACAGUCACACUGGGUUAGGGGCUUGUCUCAGUUAAUUUUCCCGUUGCUGUGAUAAAAUACCCGGACACAAACAGCGUGUGAAGAAGGGAAGUUUGGUUAGAUUCCAUCGAGACGGGGGAAGCCCCAGCAGCAGGAGCCUGAGGCAGCUAACCUCAAACAAGCAACAGAGAACAAGAGGUGUGAUCUCUUCCUUUUCAUGCUGCCCUCCUCUGGAGUGGGUCUUCCCACCUCGGUCAACCUAAUUAAGAUAUUCCCUCACAGCAUGACUCUAGGGCCUGCCAAGUUAAUGAUCAGUAUUAACCAUCACGGAACCCCUAUUCCAGUAUGGCCCAGUUCUAACCUACAUCUCUAAUGUUCCUGUUGCCAAGGAAGGCCACACACAUUUUGGGUACCAGUGCCUAGGACUUCAGCAUAUCUCUUGGGGGACACGAUGUACCCCCACAACAUUAGUUUUCAGUGGACGGUGAGCAAGGGGCAAGCCACUACCCCUCUCCAAUUCCCACCUCGACAAAGUCACCUCCAUCCAGGCUCCGGGAUCUCCUCUCAGCUGUCAUGAAAUAGUUCCUGCUGAUGUACACAGCCAUUUCCCAAGUCAUAGUCACCCCAAAGCCAGCCCUCACUGCCCUCACCUAAAAAGUUGAGGGGCCCAACCCCCUUCCUACACCCCGCAUCCAGUCCCCGCAUCCUGUUCCUUUCUAUACAGCGUUGAGAUGUUGAAAAGUUGGCCCACAAGCUACUGAACCCUGGUAUGUGCAACCCCAGAUUCUCCAUAUCCCCCGUCAUCCGGAGCUGCAGGGUUCCUGGGCUGUACUAGAAACAGCUCAAAACGACCCACGACUUCAUGAAUUCCUGUGGCACCCACUCGGUGGCUAGGCCUAGGCCUUCCCUGAAUAAUGUUGGCCCUAUCUUGUCCCCUUGGAAAGAUGGGCUUCAAGAGCUCACCUUCCCGUGGUGGGAGGACAUCAGGGGCUUAGACUAACAAAUGAGGGAGAAACAUGGCAAAGAGCUCCAAGUGUUAGCACCACCCAGGAGCUCCCCAGAUGGUCAGUGCGCUCCAAGGUGAGUGUCGGUGAAAAAGUAGGCUCAGAUGAGCUGAGGUCUAUCAGAACCGCUUGGGUGCUAGUCUCAGAAUGCAACUUCCUGUCCAACAUUGUUCAGGGACGUCCCCAGCUUCUUGCCUGCAGGUAAGUACCGGACUGUCAACUGGCUGGAGCUCGGGCGCGCCCUGCUGGCCACUGCAUUGCCGCAGUAGGAAACCAAGCCCCACACCUUCCGCAGCUAGCUGGGUCUCCCGGGUCCGCAGCCUCGAUGGCAAUCUAACUUCACCACUGCGACCUUAAUGGGCUGGUCCUGUAGCAGGACUCAUUCCGUGCUGUAAGAGCACUAAACUAGGCUAAUGUCUCUCAGGGGGACUGCCACUCCCUAGGGUGUGCAUUCUGCGAGUCUCAGACGUCCUGGCUGGCGUCGUCGAGGGGAUGGCGGGACGGAGGGAGGAGUCUAUCAGGGUCCGAGCCGGUUGGUGGAUGGGGAGGGAGGAGUGGGCGGAGCCUAGGGCAGGGCGGUUCCUCGCUCUCCCUCGCUUGCUUCGAGCCGGGCUCACCUCUGACUGUCCGGGGACAUGACUGGCACACCAGGAGCUGCUACCGCUGGGGAUGGCGAGGCCCCUGAGCGCUCCCCGCCCUUCAGCCCGAACUACGAUCUCACCGGCAAGGUGAUGCUUCUUGGAGACUCGGGCGUCGGCAAAACCUGUUUCCUGAUCCAAUUCAAAGACGGGGCCUUCCUGUCCGGAACCUUCAUAGCCACCGUCGGCAUAGACUUCAGGAAUAAAGUGGUGACAGUGGAUGGUGCCAGGGUGAAGCUUCAGAUCUGGGACACUGCAGGACAGGAGCGCUUCCGCAGUGUGACCCAUGCUUAUUACCGAGAUGCUCAGGCUUUGCUCCUGUUGUAUGACAUCACCAACCAGUCCUCUUUUGACAACAUCAGGAAUCCCAACAGAGCACUCUAGGAGAAGACUCCCCUGGUCCUUGGCCUCAGCCUGGCUCAGCUUGCCCUCUCCCACAGGCCUGGCUCACAGAGAUUCAUGAGUAUGCCCAGAGAGACGUGGUGAUUAUGCUUCUAGGCAACAAGGCCGAUGUAAGCAGCGAAAGGGUGAUCCGUUCUGAAGAUGGAGAGACACUGGCCAGGGAAUAUGGUGUUCCUUUCAUGGAGACCAGUGCCAAGACUGGCAUGAACGUGGAGUUGGCCUUUCUGGCAAUUGCCAAGGAACUGAAAUACCGUGCAGGGAGGCAGCCUGAUGAGCCCAGCUUCCAGAUCCGAGACUAUGUGGAGUCCCAGAAGAAGCGCUCCAGCUGCUGCUCCUUUGUGUGACCCCCUAGGGGCUAAGAGGAGGCCCAGAGACCCUUGGGGAUGCAGUACUCCAACUGCCACACCAACUAGGAGAAGCUGGGGGCUCAGUGGGCAGCCCCUGCCAAGGGAGUAGCCAUUACCCUAGGUUCUUUAGCUUCCCUGCAUCAUGGGAAGGAUUAAAUACUCAUACUUUAUCUUAAUAUACAUAAACUAAUAACACAAAAGGUA